AGAGAAGAGAAGGCUUCCUCAAGCUCCUCCAAUUAAUUCUGUCCAUUUCUGUUUUUUUUAAAAAAAAUUAUUCUUUUUGGUUACUCCCUUUGGUCUCCGUUGAUUUGUUUCCUUCUAGGGUUUCUUAAUUUAUGCCCAUCUCUUCUAUUCUCUUCUCAGUUUGCUUUUUAUUUUUAUUUUUUUUUAAUUUCCUGCCUUCUUGAUUAGGGUUUUGAUCUUGGUUUUACUCUUUUAUGGAUAAAUAAUUGCUUUCGAUCGACUUUGACUUUUGCGCAUGCCAAAGAUUUCCGGAGUUGUUCUGUUUGGAUUUGCCGAUAGCUCUUGCUAUUGCUAUACUUUUUGUUUCAACUUUUUGCCUCUUCAAAUUGAUUCCUUUCAGGUUCUCUGAGCGCACAGGCAUGAAAAAAAUGUUUUUUUUAAUUGCUUCGGAGCUGACUGGCGUUUCGAUUCUUCUCCAUAGCUGCUGUGUUUUUUUAAUCUCCGCGAUCUUUUUGUUAAAAAUUUUCCAUCAUUCUGAUGCCAUUCGGAAAGUGCUUUUUCUUCCUUUUUUUUACUUGCGAUCUCUCUAAGAUUUUUAUCCUGCUUCAGAAGAGCAGUUUAAUAUUUGUUUUUGCUCUUGCAACUUUUGUAGCAACCAGAUGCCAUUAGGUUCCGCUGAUUGUUGAGGCAUAGAAAAAUGCUUUCUUGAUCAAUUCUAGGCGUUAUGAUAUCGUCCUUUUUAUGACAAGUAUUCCUUCCAUUUGAUGCCCUUGGAUUCUCUGAUUGUUGAGAAAUGGAAAUAAAAGUUGUUUUGUUUGACUCUGAGCUCUCUAGGAUUCUGCGUCCUCCUCAGAACUGUCAUUCAUUAUCUCACGAUUUUUCUAUUGCAAACUUUCCAUUAAUCUAAUAACACUCAGCUCCUCUGGUUGUCCAGUUAUGAAGAAGACAAAGGGUUUCUCUGAUUACUUCUGGGUUCUUUAGGUUUUUGAUUCUUUUUCAGAACUGCCAUCUAUUAUUUGGUGAUCUUUUUUAUAGUCAUUUUCUUCAUCAGUCCGAUAUCAUUUGACUUGACUCUGGAGACAUGAAAGAGCAGUUCUUUAAUUACUUUUGAGCUGUUGUGGGUUUCUGUUUCUUCUUUGGAGUGAUAGACGACAACCCCUACAGUUGCAAUGGGCUGAUAGAGCUGCCCUUUUUUUUUCGCAUUUUUUUUACUUUAUUUUUAUUUGCAAUUUUUCCACCAAUCUGGUCUCAUCCCGCUUUUCUUAAUAUAAAAACAUUGAAAAAAUGAUUUUGUGAUUGCUUCCGAGAUCUCAUGAUUUUUGAAUUUUUUUCAGAACGAUGGAUGGCAACCCCCACGGUGACAGUGGACUGAUAGAUCACCAUGUGGACCUUGAAGAUGAUAGCAUCAAUUUUUGGGCGACACUGGGUGUCAGCCCCCAUGUCAUGGAGCCGGAGCAGAACCCAAUGCCACCCCACCACCACAUGGAACGACAACCACCUCUUGAGAUGGUUGAGCAGUCCGUCCGAAGGGAGCUGUUUGCCAUGGAAGGGGAUCCAAGGCUAGAUCCUUUUGUGGGUAUGGAGUUUGAAUCAGGGGAGGCUGCAAAGACCUUCUAUAUCGCAUAUGCUGGCCGUAUUGGUUUCUCUGUCCGCAUUGCACGGUCCAGGCGAUCGAAAUGCAAUGAGUCCGUUAUCAUGCUGAGGUUUGUGUGUUCAAGAGAAGGGUUCAGUAGGGAGAAGCGCAUAAUUGCGGGAAAGAAGACAAGAAAAAGGGCAGCAUCCAUAAGGGAAGGGUGCAAAGCAAUGCUUGAGGUGAUUCGAAGAGGUGAUGAGAAAUGGGUUGUGACAAAGCUCGUGAAGGAGCAUAAUCAUGAAGUUGGGAUGCCAAGCAGGGUGCAUUAUAUUGCUACAGAAGAAGGAGAUGCUGUGAUAGAUCCAUAUCUUGGUAUGGAGUUUGAAUCUCUCGAGAUUGCGAAGACGUACUACUAUGCAUAUGCUAGCCGCAUGGGUUUUGAAGCUCGUGUUCGUCAGUCUCGUCGUUCGCUGCAUGAUGAAUCCCUCAAAAUGUUGAAACUUGUGUGUUCAAAGCAUCGUUACCAUUCGGGAAGGGACAACAACAGUGAUGAUAGCAAGAGGUUGCAAAUUCAAGAUCCCAACAAGGAAGGUUGUGAGGCAUUAUUUGAGAUAAUACGGAAAGAUGGUGAUAUGUGGGUGGUUUCUAAACUUGUGCUGGAGCAUACUCAUGAAUUGACACCUUCACCACCCAGCAAGGUGCGAUGCAUUCGCUCACAAGGAGAGAUACUUGUUAUUUCAAAGAACUUUGAUGAUACUCGCAAUCUACUGCUGAAUGGUCAGGACUCACGGUAUCCUAGAGAGAUCCGAUACAAUGACUUGGGUCCAGAAGAUGCUCAAAAUCUUCUUGAAUAUUUCAAGAAAACACAAGCAGAGAAUCCUGCAUUUUACUAUGCGGUACAGGUUGAAAACAAUAAUUGCAUGACCAAUAUCUUUUGGGCUGAUGCUAAAGCCCGAAUGGCCUAUUACUACUUUGGUGAUGCUGUUAGACUUGACACGACAUACAAAAAUGACAAGGAAUUGAUGCCUAUUGUUAUAUUUACAGGUGUAAACCAUCACCUACAACCUGUAGUUUUUGGAUGUGCACUGCUUGUUGAUGAGUCAGAGGCAUCAUUUGUUUGGCUCUUUGAAAAUUGGCUUGCAGCAAUGCCCGCAUCCCAUCCAGUGUCGUUAAUUACUGAAUUAAAUAGGGCUAUGGCAACAGCAGUUGCAAAAGUACUACCAAAUGCCCAUCAUUGUUUUUGCAAGAAACAUGUCUUAAAUACCAUCCAGGAAGAACUGCCUGAUUUGUAUUCAGUACAUUCCCCAUUUGAAGGAGAACUGAAGAAAUGUGUUGAUGGGUCUGAAACAAGGGAAUCAUUCGAGUCAUGCUGGGAUGCAAUAAUUGAUAAGUAUGGCCUCAAGGAGAAUGCAUACCUGCAGUCCUUAUACAGUAUUCGCCAGCAGUGGCUUCCAGUGUACUUGAAGGAAACAUUCUUUGCAGCAGAAUCUGUAUCUCAAAGAUGCGAAAACCUCGACAAGGUUAUUGAAAAGUAUUUCACGGUAAAGGCCCCUUUGCGAGGGGCUGUUAGGCAACUUGGACAGGCCACUGCAAGUUGGUAUGAAAAAGAAUCUCAAGCAGAUUUCAUUACAUUGUUUGAAAAGCCAUUUCUGAAGACUGCCUCACCAAUGGAAAAACAAGCAGCUGGAAUCUACACAAGGACAAUAUUCAACAGGUUUCAGAAGGAAUUUGUUGAAUCCUUGGGUUACCAUGUAGAUAAAAUUGAAGAUGGAGUAAUUAGCAAGUAUCAAGUGUUGAGAAAUGAAGAUGCUGAAGAGACAUGCAGGGUCACCUUUAAUGCAUCUGAAAACAAAGCACAUUGUAGCUGCUGCAUGUUUGAGUCAUCUGGUGUCUUGUGCAGACAUGCUCUGAGAGUCUUCAUCAUCAAUGGUGUCCGCAUGCUUCCAAAAGAUUACAUCUUGAAACGAUGGACAAAACAUGCUAAAAGUGGUGCUGUUUUGGAUGAUUAUGGUGUUGAGCUCAGAGGUAGUUGUGAAGAUCCUUCAACCGCAAGGUACAAUGAUCUCUGUCGCGAUGCCAUUAAAUGUGCCAGGGAGGGGGCUACAACUGCAGAGUUCUAUAAGGUUGCAAAGGAUGCACUUCAGAAGGCUGUAGAUGAAGUUGUCUCUGCAAAGCAAAAGAUGGGACAACAAACUUUGCAGAGUUUUAUAACAUCACAAAAAAGGCAAACCAAAAAGCUUGGAAAGGUCACACCUAGAAAAGAUGCAUCCACUAAGAAUGUGAAGAAGCUGGCAUCAAAAAAACCAUUGAUGGAGCAUGACAUUAGAUGAUUAGAUAUUGUGAGUUGUUUUGUUUCCAAUGGAGAUAGAUAAAGGAUGCAAUCCAAAAACCUCGGAUAUGUUACGUAUGGAGAGACAACUUCCCGUUACAGAUCUUCAAAUUCAGCAAGACCUUGAUGCUUCAGUGAGGCAUUCAACAUCUUGGCUUCAAUAGUUAGAGCCUCAAUGAACAGUUUUCAACUUCACAAAGCCAGAAGUACAGCAGUAUUCCUGCCAAGGUUGGCUUUUGACUAUCCUUUCAUAUCUGCAAGAUAUAUGCCAUGUAAAUUUGCUUAUAUAGCUGUGCUCCAUUAGUGACUUGGAAUACAUGGUGUUGUUUAGGAAAUCCUUCGUAUGUUGUUGAUAGGGACUAUGACUUCCAAAGAUGUAAUUCAUUUUACAACUUUCCCUGGAUAUAUGCGAUGCACCUUUUUCUUUUUAGUAA
Molecule: non-coding RNA, 4315 nt
Organism: Elaeis guineensis (African oil palm)
Lineage: Eukaryota; Viridiplantae; Streptophyta; Magnoliopsida; Arecales; Arecaceae
Source: RefSeq, a predicted model, not a curated record